GUUUGUAUUUUGGCAGUGAAGUGUUCCUGUAACAUUCUAAUGCAUCACAUAUCCACAAGGGCUGCCUUGCUUAAAUUAUAUUUUCUGGCCUAAGAUUAUUUAACGUCAAAAUAAAACUACAAUAAAUAGCCACUACAUCUGCAAUAUCUUGGCUGUCCCCCUUCAUCAUGUGUCAAAUCUUAAGACAUGAAGGCAUGUAAAAAAGGUAACUGAAUAGUUGGUUACUCAACAAAAGUGCAACUGGUGGACUUUAUAUACCAGUGUGUUUUCUAUAUUACCUUUAAUGCAUUUUUAUUUCUUGUAGAAUAGACAUUACUUAAAAUAUCGAAAAGUCUUCAACUAGAAACCAGUGAUAUAGAACUUUCAUUUUAAGUAUUCUUAAAAACAUAAUUGUUACUUUGUAACACAGCAUUCCCAUGAAAGGGAAAUUACAUGUUUAAUACAAUGAUUUUCUAUGGAAAAUAUUGGAUGCAUGCGCAGCACUUGCCGUGUAUGUGAAUCAGGUCCCCACUUCUCCUCUAUAAAGAGCAUUUGAUUGGACCACCACUAGAGGAGACCAUGAAGUGAGGUGAGAAGCACCAAGACAGCCUCUGCUCUGGAAAAGGGUAAAUAAAACUUUUAUCUUAUUUAUUUUUAUGGCACAU
Molecule: non-coding RNA, 644 nt
Organism: Pelobates cultripes (western spadefoot toad)
Lineage: Eukaryota; Metazoa; Chordata; Amphibia; Anura; Pelobatidae
Source: the annotation of a GenBank genome assembly